This 253-nucleotide ribosomal RNA is filed under the name uncultured bacterium. RNAcentral describes it as "partial 16S ribosomal RNA". It matches the Rfam family "Bacterial small subunit ribosomal RNA", at positions 524 to 776 of the family's 1533-position model. The record is from RNAcentral.
UACGGAGGAUGCAAGCGUUAUCCGGAAUGAUUGGGCGUAAAGCGUCCGCAGGUGGCUAUGUAAGUCUGCUGUUAAAGAAUUACGCUCAACGUGAUCAAAGCAGUGGAAACUACAUGGCUAGAGUGCGUUCGGGGCAGAGGGAAUUCCUGGUGUAGCGGUGAAAUGCGUAGAGAUCAGGAAGAACACCGGUGGCGAAAGCGCUCUGCUAGGCCGCAACUGACAAUGAGGGACGAAAGCUAGGGGAGCGAAUGGG